AGCAACAUCCUGAAGACACAAAUAUAAAGAAUAACAGGUUAGAGCCAAUAUUCAGCCUCUAUGUUACAACACAAGGACACAGACAAUAUGGUUCAUAUCACCUGGAGAAGCAGACCAUCUUCUACAAAUGCUACAAAUCAUGACUAAACAGUUAAAUCUCAAACAUCAAGUUUAACACCCCCCCAAGUUUUUUUUUAAACACAAGCCCCGUCAGAAUGCCCAUGUGGGAGACGUUGAAACUAUUUACAUCAGUAUUCUUAUUGAACAGUUGAAUUUACUGUUGAAAAUGAUAUUAUCCAUGACUCUGAAAAGACACUUUUAAUCACAGUAUCACUUGCAAAGAUUUCAAAUGACAACAACUAUGGAUGGACUUACAAUACUGCUAUAUAUUAUCAAUAUUUUGAAAUAAUUAUGAUCAUAAGCUUUUUUUUGUUUUUGAAGGAGUAGGUGCCAUCCAAUAUAUAGAUGACAUUUUUCUUCUAAAACUGUGCUCCUUGGUGAUUCAUAUAAUGCAAGUUCCCAGUUCUUGUCUCUUUGAUAGUAGAUAAAAACAUACAGGCUACACACAUAAAUACAUACAUUGUCCGGCCAAACAAAUUUGAAUUUGUAUGCCCUGCUAUAAAUUUUGAAUGGCUGAUGAAAAACAAGCUUAUGUGGAUUCUACACAUUUAAACAAUUUGGAUAAGGUAUCUAGAAUUAAUUAAGGGGCAGAUAAAAUACAUAAAAUAAUUUAUUAAUCAAUUAUUAUUUUGACCUAACCCUUUUCUUUAUCUAAAGGCUGAAACAUGAGGUUUACCAUUUUAUGAAACCUUAUUAAAGAUUUUUUUUUUUUUACAUUUCAUAUGUUAUUAUAUAAACUUGUCAGUCAUGUUUUGUUAAACAUGUUUGUACAUUUAGAACUAUAAUUAUACUUAACCAUUAUAGUAAACUGCACUUACCUCCUGCCUUGUGUUGUUAUUUAGAAGUUUUUGGACGAUGAUGUCAGUGCUGUAAAACAAAUGUUCAACAGUUUUGACCAUGAGAUUCAUAGAUUUACACUUCAAAUUAAUAACAGUAUAGGGUGUUGGUUGACUGCCCCUUUAAAAAUUAGCCAGUGUUACUACAACAACAAAAAAACAUGAUUACUGUACUUAAAACCAUGUUAAACACAAGUUAACUAUGGUUUCAAACAUUAAUACAUUAACCAUGUCUUAUCCAUGAUAUUUGUAGUAAAACUGUCCAAUACAAACAGUAACCAAACUGCCAAAAAUAUGGUUAAAUACAUUUGGUACUACACUUUACUACAAUAAAACCAAAAUGGUUGAUUUUGGCAAGGGUGGGAGAAAAUCGUCCCUUAAGCGCGAUAAUGGACCUUUAUCUCACUUCCUAUAUCCGGUAAGCGAAGCAGUGUAUCCCCACUUCCGGUCCCAUUGCAACGCAAUGAAAACCAAUGCGAGGAUCCUCUCUUUCCUUUCUUUUGCCUUUGUUACUGCAGUGUACCUGGCUCCUUUUAUUCUAAACAAUGACACACUGCCUCAGUUUUCACGAUUUCCUGACACAACAAUUUUUUAAAAUUGCUGUAUACUACUGUAUACAGCCUCAUUGGCGGCGUUCUAUUGAGGCUGUUUUAUUUUCCUCAUUUACUAUAUUUGGAUUGACACGAUUUGCCCUACACCAUGUCUACAACGCCGUAACAGCUUGGGACAGACUACACUGGAUGUGUUGCAUCGCUUGUAAUGACUGGAAAAUCCGUUUGUCCGUCAUGUCAGACACAGCGCCAGCGCUUGAAGUAUAUCUACGCUGAAGCAGCGGGCAGCGUCGCGGCGUUUGCCCGGGGGAUGAACCCGCGAGAGUGGAAGAGUUCCGGAGAACAUCCGCGCUGUGUGUCGCCGCAAUUUACGAGAGAUUAAGACCAGCAAGUAAGAGACCAACGCCACGUUGCACCACAGACUGUCCAGGAGUUGGCGGAUGCUUUAGUCCAGGUCUGGGAGGAGAUCCCUCAGGAGACCAUCCGCCACCUCAUCAGGAGCGUGCCCAGGCGUUGUAGGGAGGUCAUACAGGCACAUGGAGGCCACACACACUACUAAGCCUCAUUUGGACUUGUUUUAAUGACAUUACAUCAAAGUGGGAUCAGCCUGUAGUGUGUUUUUCCACUUCAAUUUUGAGUGUGACUCCAAAUCCAGACCUCCAUGGGUUAAUAAAUUUGAUUUUCAUUGAUAAUUUUUGUGUGAUU
Long non-coding RNA from Labeo rohita (rohu), 2212 nucleotides. RefSeq lists it as uncharacterized. Lineage: Eukaryota; Metazoa; Chordata; Actinopteri; Cypriniformes; Cyprinidae. The transcript is spliced from 3 exons. The record is from RefSeq and is a predicted model, not a curated record.